This 497-nucleotide ribosomal RNA is filed under the name uncultured bacterium. RNAcentral describes it as "partial 16S ribosomal RNA". It matches the Rfam family "Bacterial small subunit ribosomal RNA", at positions 28 to 507 of the family's 1533-position model. The record is from RNAcentral.
GACGAACGCUGGCGGCGUGCCUAAUACAUGCAAGUUGAGCGCUGAAGGUUGGUACUUGUACCAACUGGAUGAGCAGCGAACGGGUGAGUAACGCGUGGGGAAUCUGCCUUUGGGCGGGGGACAACAUUUGGAAACGAAUGCUAAUACCGCAUAAAAACUUUAAACACAAGUUUUAAGUUUGAAAGAUGCAAUUGCAUCACUCAAAGAUGAUCCCGCGUUGUAUUAGCUAGUUGGUGAGGUAAAGGCUCACCAAGGCGAUGAUACAUAGCCGACCUGAGAGGGUGAUCGGCCACAUUGGGACUGAGACACGGCCCAAACCCCUACGGGAGGCAGCAGUAGGGAAUCUUCGGCAAUGGACGAAAGUCUGACCGAGCAACGCCGCGUGAGUGAAGAAGGUUUUCGGAUCGUAAAACUCUGUUGGUAGAGAAGAACGUUGGUGAGAGUGGAAAGCUCAUCAAGUGACGGUAACUACCCAGAAAGGGACGGCUAACUACGUG